UAGAGUUUGAUCCUGGCUCAGGAGAACGCGGCGGCGUGCCUAAUACAUGCAAGUCGAGCGAACAGAUAAGGAGCUUGCUCCUUUGACGUUAGCGGCGGACGGGUGAGUAACACGUGGAUAACCUACCUAUAAGACUGGGAUAACUUCGGGAAACCGGAGCUAAUACCGGAUAAGAUUUUGAACCGCAUGGUUCAAUAGUGAAAGACGGCCUUGCUGUCACUUAUAGAUGGAUCCGCGCCGUAUUAGCUAGUUGGUAAGGUAACGGCUUACCAAGGCAACGAUACGUAGCCGACCUGAGAGGGUGAUCGGCCACACUGGAACUGAGACACGGUCCAGACUCCUACGGGAGGCAGCAGUAGGGAAUCUUCCGCAAUGGGCGAAAGCCUGACGGAGCAACGCCGCGUGAGUGAUGAAGGUCUUCGGAUCGUAAAACUCUGUUAUCAGGGAAGAACAAACGUGUAAGUAACUGUGCACGUCUUGACGGUACCUGAUCAGAAAGCCACGGCUAACUACGUGCCAGCAGCCGCGGUAAUACGUAGGUGGCAAGCGUUAUCCGGAAUUAUUGGGCGUAAAGCGCGCGUAGGCGGUUUUUUAAGUCUGAUGUGAAAGCCCACGGCUCAACCGUGGAGGGUCAUUGGAAACUGGAAAACUUGAGUGCAGAAGAGGAAAGUGGAAUUCCAUGUGUAGCGGUGAAAUGCGCAGAGAUAUGGAGGAACACCAGUGGCGAAGGCGACUUUCUGGUCUGUAACUGACGCUGAUGUGCGAAAGCGUGGGUCAACCGGUUG
RNAcentral lists this ribosomal RNA (785 nucleotides) under Staphylococcus pasteuri. Its description in RNAcentral is "bacterial SSU rRNA". It matches the Rfam family "Bacterial small subunit ribosomal RNA", at positions 1 to 779 of the family's 1533-position model. Lineage: Bacteria; Bacillati; Bacillota; Bacilli; Caryophanales; Staphylococcaceae. The record is from RNAcentral.